CAUGGUGACCGUAGAAACUAACAU
This 24-nucleotide microRNA is filed under the name Oryza sativa (Asian cultivated rice). RNAcentral's name for it is "osa-miR2871b-5p". The record is from miRBase by way of RNAcentral. Lineage: Eukaryota; Viridiplantae; Streptophyta; Magnoliopsida; Poales; Poaceae.